This is a long non-coding RNA of Gallus gallus (chicken), 8033 nucleotides long. RefSeq lists it as uncharacterized. Lineage: Eukaryota; Metazoa; Chordata; Aves; Galliformes; Phasianidae. The record is from RefSeq and is a predicted model, not a curated record. The transcript is spliced from 4 exons.
UAAAGGCUUGCACUUUUCUAGUCUGUAGCACUUAUAAAGUUAUCACAGCUUAAACGGAGUGUCACAUUAAAAACAGUUUUCAGGUCACCUGAGCCAUAGUGAUAGAUGUCUUUGAGGACCACUUCUGCCAAGUUGUGCUUCUCUAGAUUCUUCUGUGCCUGAAGGCUUGCAGAGAGUGCUUGGAAAAUACUUGCUAGACUUCUCCAGCUAUGGAAGGGUUUCUAAUGAUUUCUUAAGAGGGACCACACUUUGAGCUAUGCAGCUCAAGAGAGCUUAAAGAAAAAAUUAGCAGGGAAGUUGUCAGAGCUUUGAACAGAGCAGCCCAUGAAGACUGGGUACAUUGAGAUAAGAGCAAAGGAUAGAAUACCUGACUUUCUUGCCAGGAACAUUAAUUUAACUGGAGUUCAUACCGCAAGAGAAGCAUGUUCAACUGGAAAAGAGAUGGUGGAAAUCAGAAAAGAAUUAGUUUCAACAUUUUCUAAGAAAACAAGCAGAAAGUUUGAUAUCUGAAUUUAUGUUACAGAAGGAAUUCUUUCUGUUCCCAGGUCAGUAAAUCGCUCUAACAGCCCUUCACAACAUUGGUAGAACAUCACCAGUGAGAAUAGCCCUCAUUUAAUGUUGGCAGUAAGUUAAGACAUCUCACUGCUGAUCCACACAAAUACAUCCUAAUCACAGGAGGCCAACCAACCUGCCAACCCAGCUCUCCAGGUGAUUCAAAUGAAGAAAUCAGAAGAAAAGAGUCUGUUUCAGGUGCUGCAGAUGUGUGAAGUAACGAUCCAGCCAAAAUGGUGUCUGUGGCAAAAUAGCAGGGAGAAAUUUCCUAAGGAUCUCUGAAUAUGUCCUUGUGCUGCUUCAGACCCCUUCCAUGGAAAAGAGCUGUGAUUCCAGGAUGGAAGACAAGAAAAAUCUGCUGCCUAAAGGGAAGCAGCAAUCUGUGAGCUGCCUGCCUGCGAGAGAACAGACAGACAGUCAAGAUCCCUGUACUAGUGAGUGCCCAGAAGUCUGCUGCCACUGCAGGGCAUUGGUGCCUGGCAUACACUUGGUUAAGGCCUGAACUGCUGCCUGCUACACCUCUGAAAAGGAAUGAGAACAAACUUGUCAGCAGCUGUCUCCAGUGGUGCUUGUGGGUUUGCUUUGUGUUGCAGGCUCGUAUUGUGAGACCAGACUGCAGAUGUUUUCAGGGACAGUGUAAAUACUACAGCAGUUAGAUCAGCUCCAUUUUUCAAGUUUCUCUAAUGUUUUAUAUUCUGACACGUGAAAUUGGCUUUUAAUUGCUCCUAUGCAGUGGGUCUGUUUUCCUUUGCCUAGAGAGAAUAAAUGGAGACUGGAGCCUCUAAAGUGGUCUGAUAUCAGCCUGAGCUGAGGGACACAAACACACAGCAGGAAUGGCAAAAGAAUGACCCUGGUUUCAUUACACAGGAAGGCUCUAAGAACUUAAACUGUACAAUAUGUAUAAUGUACUAAGUCCAAUAUCUUAGCAACUGAAUUCAACAUCAUAACUGGAAUCAGUAAGAAAACAUAACAAUUGGAUUUAAAAUGAAUCCAUACCUCUGAAGUUGCAUACACACAAUCUAUAUACCAUAAUACAUUAAUAGGAAGACUGCAUUUUGUACUUAGGAUUAUAAAUUGUUCACUUGGAAGUGCUUGAAGUUAGCAGCAGAUAGAAAGCAAAGAUAAAGUUCAGAAAAUGUGGGUCUCCAGGAUUAAUAUGCUUUAAAAUAUACCUAAUGUAUACUCUGAGUUCAGCACGUGUUGUUCACAUGGAAUAUUUUUAGUGGGAUGGGACAUUCCUCAAGAUACUGAGAGAAUGAGGUAGUCAUCACUCUCGACCAGAAUUCUUGUAUACAGAAAUUAAAUGAACUUGGCAAAACUCUUGUGCUACAACUAUGGCUACACGGUCAUUUUAACAGCACAUGCAUUUGUGAGAAAGAAAAUUAAUCUGAAGUUCUGCAUCACUACAGCGGAGUUUGAUGGCAAAUAAAGCCUCAGACAAUGAAUGUCUGUGAAUGAAAAAGAAUUACUUAUUAAAAAAUGUUCGCUGAAUUGUUUCUAUUAGCACUACACAUGAUUUUCUGAAAGUGCAACGAAAUUUUGGCUGCAAAAAUGAAACAUGAAAUUCCCACUGCCUGCCAGUUUUAAUCAAAUAUAGAACUCAGCUUGAAGGCUGAAAUGGUGCUGUGGGGAAGUAGGGCUGGCUGUCUCCCAUUAAAGGCCUGCAAGCGUUUUUUUGUUGUUAAGUUUGUGUGAAGCCUUGGAGUCUUAUCUGACUCCUCACUGAGUCUGGAUGACUGGGCAGCAUCCCAAAAAUACCUUCUCACAUGUUUAGCUUUAUGGGAGUUUCAUUCCUGUCUCCCGCCGAGGCCCCAAUAUCCUCUGCAUUUGUUACCUGGCGGCUGUGUUAUUGCAGCCUCCUGUUCCUGAAGCUGGAUGUAAGACAACGUGCCAGCUCCAGAUGCGGCAGAAAGAGGCUGUCUGCCUUGUGCUUACCUUACAUCGCUGCAAUUGCCUCAUGCCAGGUCCUUCUUUCAGCUCCAGGUGAUUCCUGAUGCCAGAUUAGGGCCUUGGUGAAUGAAGCCCCACUGCAGCCAAAAGCCACUGAGGCUCAGAACAAAGCCUUCAGGAGCUAGGGACAAAACACCUCUUUGGAAGUAAUUUAGUACUGGGAAAACUUUCAAUUCAUAUCAGAUAAAGACAGAAUCCGACCAUCUUUAGAAAACAAAGGAAACCUUCCUCACAAAGAAUGCUUUCCAUCAGAAGCACAGCUUGCUUCAAAUUUCAAGCUCUUUCAUUUGCCUUCUUAGAAAAACAACAAACACUGACUGAAAUUUGUCCCCCCAAAUGCAGAAAUGCUAUAUACUGCAGAGUCAGCAGCUAUUUUUGCUAGGGCUGUUGGCCGACAUGUAGGCUACAUUAUGAGGGCAAGAACUCACCAGUUUCAGGAUGAGGUAAAACGGUAAAAUAUGUUCAGCUUUAAAUUUCUAAUUCCUGACACCGAAGACAGAAGACACAAAUCACUGGCUUGGUGCGAACUGACUUGACCAAUGCAAGUUCUGAUGGGUAUGCCUUGCAACAGCAGGCUUCAAGUUUAAUCAGGUACUGGCUUUUACCACACUUCCAGCACAAAGCUAUCAGGAAAGCAUAAAGCCAAAAUAAACUCUCUAUCAUGUGCUCUGCCAAACUUGGCAGAAAAGGGACCCUGUGCCCAGGCCUAAUUUAAGUCCAAGUCACUGCUAGAUAACAACGCUGAGCUGUAAUUCAACAGUAAUGGUUGUGGUGCUAGAGAAUAGUAGGUUUUUUAAUUGUAUUUUAACCAUUGCUUGGCUAUAGUCUUGCUGUUGCUAUAGUCUGAGGGCAAUAGACUAUAGAGGACUAUAAGGGCAAUAGCAAUAGGGUCCUCCUCAACCUCUUUUAGAUUUAUACAUAUGUAUAUGUAUGUAUCACCAUGUCAUCAUAUGUUUGUAUGGGCUCUAUCAAAUGUGGAAGGAAGUUGAUGUAUGAUAAAAGAUCAGCUAAAAAGUCAGCACAUAUUUUACUUAGUGUCCGCAUAAAAAUUCUCCUGUCAGAUCACAGAUCAAACCAAAUGCACUAUCUCAUUAACAAAGUAUCUCAUGAGACAUAAUUUAAAGGCUGCUGCCAUUUCUAACCAGAGGUCUCACCCACCAGUCGCAAAUCUCUGUGCUUCUUUAAGAUUUCUUUUCAAACUGACACCUCCAUUGUUUUCAAAGUCUUCCGUAGUUCUCCUCCCUGUUUGCUGUUCAAUCUGGCUGAUGGUCAUCUUUCUCUGUAACCCUAUCAACUGGGGUCAGGUGGAAGUCUUCCUCUGUGGCAGUGUGGGGCAUUGGGUUGUGUUCAAAGACGUUUGCAGAGAUUUAAACAGCACAUCCUGUGAAUUUGAGUCUUCAACGCAUCACAGCACUGUGCUUAUGGUGGAGAAGCAUGGCAACAUGCAUCCCUCUUGAUUCAGAUUUCAUAGGAACAGCAUAGAAUGUCUCCUAAAAGUAUCUGCCAGUCAGUCAUUGAUGACGUAGUAGUAUAUCCCUCUCCUUGAUUACCUUUCUGAGGCACUGUGGUUCCAGGUCCUGCAGUAGUUGAGCACUUGAGGCCUUCUGCUGGAAGGAGUUUUGAGAUGAUGACUAUUUUUAUCAUUGUGAAAUUACUAAUGGUUCCAGUGCUAUGCAGGUGAGUGAUGCGAGUUAUGCAGCACAGCUUGAUGUGUAGAAGGAAGCAGUACUGUGUUCAGACAGCCAGAAAGCUAGAAAUCACGAAAAAAAGAAUCAGAUAGAGAAACAGGAAAUGUCUGUGGAAAAACAGACAUACAGGACCUCUAGUUCUUCCAUAAUCUUCCAGGAGAAGCCCGAGCAAAGAAUUCAACUUCUUGUAGAGUGGAGUUUUAUCAAUUAAAAGAAUUUAAUGAUGUGGGAAAGCUGGACUGGUCCCACCUCACCCUUCUCACCUAAAAGUCUCCUAGAACAGGCUCCCUUUUGUAAGGGUGUAAUAAAAGGAUGGCUCACAGAAGAAAGAGCAGAGUGUAUUUAUUUGUACCUCUGAAUUCCUCCUCUGUGGGUACUGUAUAAAUACACAGACAAGCUUUUUUUUUUUUAAAUAUAACCGAAAGAUACUUAUGGUUUAUGGGUCAUUUCCCACUGCUUCUAUGUGUGUGUGUUUCAAGAGAUUCAGUUCAACAGAUAAAAUGGUGGUGUAACUUCCAAGAUCUAAAUUAUUCUUUAAUGCAGCUGUCUAAUAGAGCUAAGGCCAUUUAAAAAAGGAGCUGGCUGAAGAUGCAACUGCAAUUCAUCUUCCAAAAGUUUUGAAAUAAGUGUAAUAUUUGGCAAUCCUUGGCCAUCUUAUACUAAUCAAAUUUUCAGCUGAGAGGUUUAUAAAGCUUUUUCCUUAGUUGCUAAUCAGUUGUGUUGGUUUUAAUGAAGAAAGAUAGAUGUGUCCAUUAUAAAACACUAUUAGAAGAUAGAACAGGUGGCAGAACUGGCUGUAGAGAAAGACAUAUAAGAAUGUGCUUUAUUGAUCUCAGAUUAUGCUUGCUGUUCAGAAUUUAUUAGUAUCACAGUUUCUUCUUUAUUUCUUCUGCAGAAGGAGUCCAGAGACCUUAAAGAAGUAUUUCAAAAUGGCUAAACUAACAUUUUUCUUUACCUCUACCUGGCACAUUUUCAGAGAGAUACAUUUACUGGAUGGAAACUUCCUGCCUGGGCUGGCUGUCUGUUAGCGUGAGUAAUGAGCAAUCCAUCCAUCAUUAGGGCUAGCAAGUUUUCCAUUUCAUCCUCUUCCCUCUUUAAGUGCAUGAUUUAACUCACAGCACAUAAACAUUUAUGCAGCAACCUUGUAAAAGCAAAACUGUGCCUGGUAUUACGGUCAUAUUUGAGACAACUGUAGGCAGGUGGACAAACUCACUUGAAACCAAACUCAAGUUCAGUGAUUGUUCACAAUAUCUGACCUUUGUAUUCUGUGUCUGUGCCUAAUUUACAUUAAUCUCAUUAUUUUUUUUUCCCCUCCACGUGUACUUAUUUCAGACUUGGCACUGGCCGAAGGUAGAGCUGCUACAUGCUUAAGAAAAUAUUCUUUGGACAAGUAUGAGCUCUGGGGGAGGUUGCUUUUUCAACUAGGUCACAGACCUAAAGCUUAGGAUCUCCCAUCUUUGGCCCCCCGUCCUCCUGCAGGCUUCUUCCCAUGCUGACUCACAUGAGAGAUGCUGAGCAGCAAGAACCAAGUGGGUGCGCAGGAGUCUGGAGCCAGGAGAAUGGGGUACCAACACUUCAAUUAGCAGCCAGCAAUCACAGAUCUUGCCACAUGUCAACUCCACCAGCAAGUUUUCUCUUCAUGGGGAGGGGAAGGGGUGGCUGGUGAUACUUGAGCAUUCAGUGUUCAGCUCAGUGCAGAAACAACUUUCUGCUAGAGGGUGCCUGAAAUAUUUCUAGGUUUGUCUUUCCAGUGAGGUCUUUGGGUUUCCUUGUGUUCUUGCAGCACCUUGUUGCAGGUUAGGUCUAAGAUCUCUGAAUGCUGAGGCAUGCACAAGGGGCUCUGGAUGGCAGCGCUGCAACAAUGGUUGCAGACCUUUCUCUGUCAGGAAAAGCAACAGAUUUUACAGUUCAGAAGAGCGAGGCCUUUCUUGCACAGCAGGAAAUCCCCUAUAGUCAGUAUGAGUUUUCAGCCAUGAUUUUGGGGCUUUUCUUUGCCUUCUCAAAUGUUGGCAACCCCAUUCCAUGAACAGUGCACUUGGGGCACAGGGGGCCAGUUUCACCCAGUAACUCCAGUAUCCAAGGAGCUUCUCAUGGACUUUCACUGUCUGUGUUUUAACACAGCCUGGAGCUAAACAUGUGGCUUUACUCAGCGAACCUUAAUAUGCUCUCUGCCAGUCCUAAGAAAUCAACACUCCCCAUCCAUAACUAAAUCUGAUUUCUUUGCUCAUUCCCCAGAAUCCACUCCCAAGGCUCCCUGCUCUCUCGGUGCAAGCAGAGGGUAGUGACAGCCAGAACUGAACUGCAGGCAGAGCUGUGAGGCUGCACAACACAAUGCUUUUUCAAGGAAUACUCACUCAGCCAAGAAUACUUUAAAUACUCCACCUCCAUCACCUUUCCUUAAAAUUCAGAUUAUUAAUGAGUAAAACUUACAUUUGUAUUCCUCAGUGCUCUGCGUUAGAGGGAAACAAUAGCCAGGUCUCCCUCUCCUUCCUCCUGGGUGGGCAAGCAGCACAAUGCAAAAGCAUUAUCGCAUCAACUGCUGGGCUAAGAAGCUUGACCCAAAGCCCUGUGCCAGUGAAUUAUUUUCCCUUGACAUAUGGCUUAAGGCUGAAGGAUUUGAACACUUAAUUGGUGCACUUUCUGCAAGGCUUUAAAGGCUUGGCAAGGUGAGAUUCCUGCUAAUCAGUGAUACAGCUGGGAAACAGCUCCCGCUGUGCAUCACCAGCAGUCUCCACCUACAAGAAUUCAUUGAUCUCCUGGAGCUCAAGGGACUUGUAUUAUCUGAAGGUGUUAAAAUCAUUUCCAAGAGAAGCUGUCCAAAGAUUGUGUUUCAAACAUCCUUCAUAAUUCGUAUUCAUGGAGACAUGUAACAGCAUAGACCCACUAAUGUGCGUGAAAUAGAAUGCCUCGACUUUCUCUCUCACAUUAUUGUGAUAGGGUGUCUCUUUGUUAAUCAGGAAAACAAAACGUGUUCCCUGCAACUUUUGUCUUUUCCUGUAGGAAUUACCUCAGCUCUUCUCUAUAAGCAGAUAUUCACAAAAUUGACAUUUUUCCAGCACUAUUUUGUAAUUGAAAUUAACAACAACAACAAAAAUAAUAACCUAUCCCAAAAAUGUAUCAUUCGAUGAGAGAUUUGGGAAAUUAAAUCCUCAUCCAUUAUAAGCACCACUGGAAAUCAGUUAUCCUGAGCAUUUGCCUCCCAUUUUCAUCCUGCCAUUUUCCUGUAGUAAGACCUCUGACUUGCACAACAAUUUUUUCUGUAAUGCGCCACAUGUUUUGCCAGCAUUUUAGUUUCUCUACAACAUACUCCAUAAAUAAAUUACAUCACUUUCACUGUAACUGAUUCCCUUAUGCUAUCUUAUCACAAACCCUGUAAACUCAUUCCUGUGCUCCUGUGGACUGGAAGGAUCUCUGUACAUGGAGGAUAUUCAGGAGAGAUGGGUUAUUACUGCUAUUAUGGUUUUACAAGCAAAAGUAUCUUUCACUCUGAUUCUGCCAAAAUGUUCCUUUCAUGGAGAGGACAAUAAAAUGAAAGAGAGAAGUUACUGUGCCCAUUGGAGAGAAGAGACUCCCCUGAAGAAAGCUGCCUCCAGUCACCAACUUGUUCUUACAAGUGAGAAACGCUGCAUAAGAUUGAUACAGAUUCAACAUAAUAAGACUUCUUUGGAAGACAUUCCACAGACACUUGUCACUAAAUAAAGUCAAUCACAUCUCAUUCUCUUAGAUGCGGAAGAGUAAAAGGGGGAAACAGUGUUUGAAAGUGUUCAAAAAACAGAUGCUUAGGGCACUAGUGUAAAAAAGCCAAGUAUGACAAUAAACACACUUUCAUCUUUUAUGAUUUUA